GAUGAACGCUGGCGGCGUGCCUAAUACAUGCAAGUCGAGCGAACAGACGAGGAGCUUGCUCCUCUGACGUUAGCGGCUGACGUGUGAGUAACACGUGGAUAACCUACCUCUAUUACUUGGAUAACUUCGGGAAACCGGAUCUAAUACCGGAUAAUAUAUUUAACCGCAUUGUUCAAUAGUGUAAGUCGGUUUUGCUGUCUCUUAUAGAUGUUUCCGCGCCGCAUUAUCUAGUUGGUAAGGGAACGGCUUACCAAGGCAACGAUGCGUAGACGACCUGAGAGGGUGAUCGGACACACGGGAACUGAGACACGGUACAGACUACUACGGGAGGCAGCAGUAGGGAAUCUUGCGCAAUGGGCGAAAGCAUGACGGAGCAAAGCCGCGUGAGUGAUGAAGGACUUAGGAUCGUAAAACUAUGUUAUUAGGGAAGAAAAAAUGUGUAAGUAACUAUGCACGUAUUGACGGUAACUAAUCAGAAAGCAACGGCUAACUACGUG
Molecule: ribosomal RNA, 497 nt
Filed under: uncultured bacterium
Lineage: Bacteria
Description: partial 16S ribosomal RNA
Rfam family: Bacterial small subunit ribosomal RNA
Source: RNAcentral